RNAcentral lists this ribosomal RNA (1711 nucleotides) under Epicrius n. sp. OSAL004471. RNAcentral's name for it is "SSU rRNA". It matches the Rfam family "Eukaryotic small subunit ribosomal RNA". Lineage: Eukaryota; Metazoa; Arthropoda; Arachnida; Mesostigmata; Epicriidae. The record is from RNAcentral.
CAGUUAUGGUUCAUUAGGACAUGUUAUCGUACUUGGAUAACUGUGGUAAUUCUAGAGCUAAUACAUGCCUCUACGCUGGGUCCCAAUGGGAAGCUGGCGUGCUUUUAUUAGAACGAAGCCCCGCCGAAUGCAGGAAUGUACUUCGGUAGUCUCUACGGUGCUGACUCUGGAUAACAAUGCCGAGCGCUUAGGCUUAAAGCCGGUGCUAGUCCUUUCAAGUGUCUGCUCUAUCAACUUUCGAUGGUAGGUUAUGUGCCUACCAUGGUUGUAACGGGUAACGGAGAAUCAGGGUUCGAUUCCGGAGAGGGAGCCUGAGAAACGGCUACCACAUCCAAGGAAGGCAGCAGGCGCGUAAAUUACCCAAUCCCGGAACGGGGAGGUAGUGACGAAAAAUAACAAUACGGGACUCAAUUGAGGCUCCGUAAUUGGAAUGAGUACACUCUAAAUCCUUUAACAAAGGUCUAUUGGAGGGCAAGUCUAGUGCCAGCAGCCGCGGUAAUUCUAGCUCCAAAAGCGUAUAUUAAAGUUGUUGCGGUUAAAAAGCUCGUAGUUGGAAAACUCGCUCUGGAUUGCAUUAGUAGGUACGCCUACGCCGCUUUCUGGUCGCGAACGGAGGUGGCUGUUCGUUGUGCUCUUAAUCGAGUCGCUUCGAGUGGCCAUCAUAUAUCACUUUGAUUAAAUUAGAGUGCUCAAAGCAGGCCCUUGUGCCUUUAUAUCAGUGCACGGAAUGAUGGAAUACGUUGCGGUUCUGUUUGUUUGGUUUUUUGGACUACAAGAUGAUCUAGAGGAACAGCCGGGGGCAUUCGUAUUGCGACGAGAGAGGUGAAAUUCUUGGACCGUCGCAGGACGAACUACNNNNNNNNNNUUUGCCCAGAAGUUUCAUUGAUCAAGAACGAAAGUUAGAGGUUCGAAGGCGAUCAGAUACCGCUUUAGUUCUAACAGUAAACGAUGCCAACUAGCAAUCCGCCUGAGUUCCUAUAAUGACUCGGCGGGCGACUUCGGGAAACCAAAGUUCGGUUCCGGGGGAAGUAUGGUUGCAAAGCUGAAACUUAAAGGAAUUGACGGAAGGGCACCACCAGGAGUGGAGCCUGCGGCUUAAUUUGACUCAACACGGGGAAACUCACCCGGCCCGGACACCGGAAGGAUUGACAGAUUGAUAGCUCUUUCUUGAUUCGGUGGAUGGUGGUGCAUGGCCGUUUUUAGUUGGUGGAGCGAUCUGUCUGGUUAAUUCCGGUAACGAACAAGACUCUAGCCUAUUAAAUAGACACCACGAUUCUGGUACUCGUGGUGCAGCUUCUUAGAGGGAUAAGAUGCUUUUAGCAUCGUGAAAGAGAGCAAAAACAGGUCUGUGAUGCCCUUAGAUGUCCGGGGCCGCACGCGCGCUACACUGAAGGAGGCAGCGUGAGUAACCUUGUCCUAACGGAUUGGGUAACCCGCGGAACUUCCUUCAUGAUUGGGAUAGGGGUUUGCAAUUAUGCCCCUUGAACGAGGAAUUCCCAGUAAACACUAGUCAUCACCUAGUGUUGAUUAUGUCCCUGCCCUUUGUACACACCGCCCGUCGCUACUACCGAUUGAGUGGUUUAGUGAGGUCUUUCGAGUUGUCCUCUGGGGUGCCUUUCGGUCUCCUGGUACGAUAACGAAGAUGCCCAAACUUGAUUACUUAGAGGAAGUAAAAGUCGUAACAAGGUUUCCGUAGGUGACNNNNNNGGAA